Molecule: long non-coding RNA, 3771 nt
Organism: Vigna angularis (adzuki bean)
Lineage: Eukaryota; Viridiplantae; Streptophyta; Magnoliopsida; Fabales; Fabaceae
Exons: 4
Source: RefSeq, a predicted model, not a curated record
CCUAAAAUACUAUUAAACAAAUUUAAAAGAUUAAUAUAGCAAAAGCUAAUAUUUGAAUACAAAAAUAUAUAAAAAUGAAAAAAUUAAUUUAAUUUAAUUUUAAAGAUUAAAAACAUACUUAAUAUAUUGGAGGAUCUCCUAGACGGCAGAGGCGGACGAUAAACGAAUGGUGAUGAGGCCAGACGGCUACGUAUGGUAAGCAAGCUCCCGGUCGAUUAAGGUAAAGCAUUGAUUAAUUAGUGAUUGGGAUGUGAUUGGGCCUUGAUUAAGGUCUCGCUAACCCAAAGCUCAUAAUCAAAACUAUAAACACAGGUCAAAGGUAAAAGGUAGGUAGAUUCAUUAAUUGCGCAUUUAUUACAGUAUUCAAAUUACCGAUCGGAAUAUUACUGACUUUAGCAUCGGAGCACCUUUGGCAGGUACACCAUCGAUCGUUGGACAAAAGAUUGGGAACCAAAGUACCGAACGGAGCUUGGAGGAAAUUGUGAAGGACUUAGGUGACUCGACCAUAUACCAGAUCAUUUUGGCAUCCACUGUGGGGCCGAGUAACUUAGAAGACCCAAUGAUGACCACUAGGAAUAUGAGCGCUGAAGACCCAACUGAGAUGAUCAGGAUGCUACACCAAAGAAUGGAAGAGAUGCAACAAUGCCACGAGACGGAGUUAACAACUGUCCGGGCAGAAUACUAAGCUCGGAUCGUUGGGGAAAAGAACGCCGAAGCAGGCGAGAAGGCUGACAAAGAACGCGGCAAGGCCGCUAAAAGGGAAAGGACUGAACACAGUAGUAUGUCGGACGAAACGUGGAGGCUGACCGAGUCCGGGGUAGGAGCGAAUGGAGCCAAGACCGCCCCUAAGGAAAGCGUCGCUAUGACUAAACAGUUGGUGAUGAAGGCCGAAGAUACCUCCGGAAACUUACUGUUCUCCCAAGCCAUCAUGGAUGUUCACAUAUCCGAACAGUUUUCCCCACCUCAACUUUGUAUUUAUGAUGGGACAAUCGAACCAAACGAUCACAUUAAGGCGUUUACCGAUCGAAUGACAUUUCGCACGGGGAAUCAGGAAAUCUGGUGUCAAGCGUUCUCUUUGUUGCUGGAAGGGGAGGCUUUGGAGUGGUUCAACUCUUUGCCCCCGAACUCUAUUGAAAACUAUGAGGGUUUGAAAGCUAUGUUCGAUUGACAGUUUGCAAGUAGCCGUUCCCAAGACUUAACCAUUUUUUAAUUAUCAAGCCUCAAGCAGGAGAAGAAGGAGACGCUAAAGGCAUUCAUGGACUGUUACCAGAAGAUGGUCUGGCGGGUAAAGGGCCUCAAUACCGAACUUGCCCUCUAGUAUGUCCUGCCCACCCUCAAGCCGGGACCUUUCAAGGAUAGUGUCUACUGGCGCGCACCGAAGACCCUAGAGAAGCUGCGCGAGAGGGCGACUGAUGAAAUAAUGGUGGAGGAAAUGAUGUCUUAGCGAAAGGAGGCGCAUGAAGUAAAGGAGAAGUUGGUGGCAAAGAGGCAUGCAGGGCCGACAGAGAAAACCGGAGGAUUUAGGCUGAAAGAGCCUCCUAGGGGGCGCAUUUUUAGCAGUACACCCCGUUAAACGCCCCCCACACGAGAAUAUUACAAGAAGCAUUGACCGCCGAAUUAAUAUAGACGCCUAAGAGGCGCCCAACAUCGCCCGGGGUCGAUGGCAAUAAGCAUUGCCUAUACCACAAAAACUUGGGUCACAACACUAAAGAGUGUGUGACCCUUAGGGACCAAAUCGAGGAGUUGAUUAGGGUGGGUCAGUUGAAAAAGUACAUCAAAACCGACCGUUAGGCUGAAUCGUCACGACGACGAUGCAUUCCAUGGAGGAGGUGUCCAGGAAGGCCAGGUGAUCGCGGUUGCAUGCGGUACAGCAGAAAUGACCGCCCCUAAUCAUAGAGGUGGCAUAGUUGGAGUCUUAGCAAGAGUAAUGACCGUCCAUUAGGCGGCCAUAUCAAUACCAUUUCCGGAGGAUUCAUAGGGAAAGGAUCAUCCUUAUCAUCUAGGAAGCUUCACGUCCGAGCCCUCCGCUCCGUUCAUGCCGUGGAUCGGACUAGGAAAACCAUGCCACCCAUCACCUUCACAGACGAAGACUUCCACGCUCCGAACCUAGAUCAAGACGAUCCCAUGGUAAUCACUGCAGAGAAAGCCCGAUAUGAAGUGAGCAAGGUGUUGAUCGAUCAAGGAAGCUUCGUUAACAUUCUAUACUGGAAGACUUUUCAGCGCAUGGACUUAUCAGAGGACCUAAUCGUCCCUUAUAACAAACAAAUAGUGGACUUCGCCGAAGAACGGGUGGACACGCGAAGGUAUUGGACCUUCGUACCUGGCUCGUCGCCAAGCGGGUGGUGAUGAAAAUAGGUUUGAUACUUGCUGGUGAAGGCUAACACGUCACAUAACGUCUUCCUAGGCCGUUUGUGCCUGAACGCAUUUGGAGCUAUAGUAUCUACCCUUCACUUGACCAUGAAGUACCCAUCAGAGAAGGGAACGAUGUUCAUCGUUUGGGCCAAUCAAAGGAUGGCCAUAGAAUGCUAUGCAACCGGGCUAAGGCUUUAUCCCUAGUCAACCCGGUGAAAGAUGGUCGGAUCAAACCGCUAGGACAAUUGUGUCAGUUUAAGGUGGGACAAGGCGACCAACAGGUCACUAGCAAGGCAAGAGGUUUGGAACCUGAGGUAGAGCGGGAGCUACAGUGGACAUGCCCGACAUCAACCCCGCAGUAAUGUCCCAUAAUUUGGCCUUAUUCAAAGAAGCAAAGCUAGUCACCCAGAGGAAAAGAUGGAUAGGAGCGGAGAAGAGGGAGGCAGUAGAUGGAGAGGUCAGAAAGCUGAAGGAGGUUGGCUUUAUUAGGGAAGUGACAUACACCACAUGGCUGGCAAAUGUUAUCAUGGCUAGGAAGGUCAGCAAAAGUGGCAAAUGUGCACAGACUACACCGCCCUCAACAAGGCAUGUCCUAAGGACGUUCACCCGCUCCCCAACAUUGAUGGCCUAGUCGAUGGCGCUUCUGACCAUCAUAUGUUCAACUUCCUUGACGCUUACUCCGACCAUUUAACAUUGAAACCCCAAUGACAACAGAUUGUUUAGGGCUUGUGGGGCCUAGUGUAUUGGUGGAUCUCCCGGACGACCAGAGUCGGACGAUAAACGAAUGUUGAUGAGGUCCGAUGACUGCGUAUAGUAAGCGAGCUCCCAGUCGAUUAAGGUAAAACAUUGAUUAAUUAGUGAUUGGGCCUUGAUUAAGGUCUCGCUAAUCCAAAGUCCAUAACCUAAACUAUAAAUACAGGUCAAAGGUACACCAUCGAUCAGUGGACAGCAGACUGGGAAAUAGAGUAUUGAUCGGACGAAGCUUAGAGGAAAUUGUGGAUGAGCUUAUUUCUAUCUAGGCAUGUUGUUCUAUAUCAGUAAGGCUCGAGCAAGGUUCAUGCCAAAUGAAUAACACCCUUGUGUUAGGGUUUGAGACAAAGAAGAUGAUUCUCGUUAAAUGCAAAGAAGAGCUCGAUGGCUCAUGCUUAUGGAUCAAGGGAUGGGACAAUUUUGGAAACAUAUUUUGGGACUUCAAGACGGUUGUCACAUUAUUUAAUUUCGUUUUGUAAUUUUAAGUAUUUUAGAUUUGGACAGAUUUGCACCUUUGAGCCCAAUUUGAGGUUACUUUUUGUAAGAAGCCCAUAUUGAGGGCAUUUUCGUCUUUAGGGGUUUUAAAACCCCAAAUCAGAUUUUAGAAGCUCUCAUCUUCGUCAUUUUCGUUUUUCCUUUAGGUUUUGGUGCUUGGGACGUUUUCCACUC